Molecule: ribosomal RNA, 492 nt
Filed under: uncultured Actinomycetes bacterium
Lineage: Bacteria; Bacillati; Actinomycetota; Actinomycetes
Description: bacterial SSU rRNA
Rfam family: Bacterial small subunit ribosomal RNA
Source: RNAcentral
UGGGGAAUCUUGCGCAAUGGGCGAAAGCCUGACGCAGCAACGCCGCGUGCGGGAAGAAGGCCUUCGGGUUGUAAACCGCUUUCAGCAGGAACGAAAAUGACGGUACCUGCAGAAGAAGGUGCGGCCAACUACGUGCCAGCAGCCGCGGUGACACGUAGGCACCAAGCGUUGUCCGGAUUUAUUGGGCGUAAAGAGCUCGUAGGCGGUUCAGUAAGUCGGGUGUGAAAAACUCUGGGCUUAACCCAGAGCCGCCACCCGAUACUGCUGUGACUAGAGUCCGGUAGGGGAGUGGGGAAUUCCUAGUGUAGCGGUGAAAUGCGCAGAUAUUAGGAGGAACACCGGUGGCGAAGGCGCCACUCUGGGCCGGAACUGACGCUGAGGAGCGAAAGCGUGGGUAGCAAACAGGGAUUAGAUACCCUGGUAGUCCACGCCGUAAACGUUGGGCACUAGGUGUGGGCCUCAACCAACGAGGUCCGUGCCGUCGCUAACGCA